ACUUCAUGAUUCGGGCAUUAUAUAAGUUUUUCAUUGAGCCUUUACCAUACCUCAUAUAAGGGCUCACCACUAAGUUGACAAAAAUUUUUGAUUUUUUCUCAUAGU
Molecule: non-coding RNA, 105 nt
Organism: Capsicum annuum
Lineage: Eukaryota; Viridiplantae; Streptophyta; Magnoliopsida; Solanales; Solanaceae
Source: Rfam